Long non-coding RNA from Rattus norvegicus (Norway rat), 5621 nucleotides. RefSeq lists it as uncharacterized. Lineage: Eukaryota; Metazoa; Chordata; Mammalia; Rodentia; Muridae. The record is from RefSeq and is a predicted model, not a curated record.
GUUCCAGCUGGCUGAAGGGUCAGUGGGAUGUUGUGUUCCCUCACCCUCAUGACUACUGUGCUUUAGCACGGGGAGCAGGACAGUGUCCAAAUCUCAGGGUUUGGGUGAAAUGUAAGGAUGGAGUUGGGAAGUUGCUGGUCAAAGGAUGUAAAGUUCAGAUGAACAGGGAAUGACUUUGAGUACUGUUACCUGUAGCCUAUGACACUCAGCAGUGUCCUAUAAAUAAUGCAAAGGAACUUUAAGAAAGGGGAAGCAUGUUUGAGGGUUUAAAAAGCUGAGAUGGGUAUUCAAUGCCACAGUAAAUUGAUUUGUAUUUUACAAGCACUGUAAAUGCGAAGGAUAUUGAGAGGUAGCCUGGAAAACUUCAGUGUAUGGGCAUAGAGCUCAUGCGCACGCAUGAGUGGCCAAUGAACGAUACCCGCCCCUCCUCUCUCGGACUUAGCCACGCCCUUCAUUAGUUCCUGAGGGGAUUUUUCAGAACAGAGGUUAUGGCAGUUUCACUAUCCAAUUCCAUUUUUAGCAGGUGUGCUUCCUGACCAAAGAAGUCAGAUGAGUGCAUGAGCAGCCCCUUCAAGGACAAGGCUUGGAUUCCCAGGAGCAGACAAGGAACUCUCUGGGCAUACUCCAAGGAAUCUGGACCUCCUCUGUCACAGGACAUCCACUGUUUAAGCACCACACUACCUCAGGAAGUCCACUGUCUGUGUGUCAACUCCACUGUAACAGGACCACAAGUGUCUCAGCACUUCAACUAUCACAGCACUUCUACUGUUCAUGAGCUCAAGAGUCUCAGCAUCUCAAGUGUCACAGGACCUCCUUUGUCCAAGAACUGGACUGUCCAAGCAACACUACUAUUGCGGGACCUCCACUGUCACAGGACUUCCACUGUAGGAGCACUACAACUGUCUCAGGACACCCACUGUCCUAUAAGCUCCACUAUCUCAGGAAUUCCACUGUCGUAGCACCACCCGUAGCAACUAAAGUGUUUCAGGACAUCAACUGAAGCAAGAUCUGCCAUGAUUCUGCAACUUCACUGCCACAGGAUCUCUACAGUGACAGGAAUACCCCUGUAUCAUCAAUUCCAAUUUUGCAGGACCUCCACUGUAGCAGAACCUUCAAUUGUGCAGCAGCUCCCCUGUAGGGAGAUUGACCUCCAUGAUCUCAGUGCAUCGAUUUUCAAAGGACCUUCACUGUCACAGAACCGGCGCUAUUUCAGUGCCUCCACUGUCGCAGGACCUACCUCUUCACAGGAUCUGCACUGUUGCAACAACUGAAAUUUCAAUUUUUCAAAGUCAUUGCUGUUUAUAUUUGAGGCUGAAUGAAAUGUGAUGCUACUUUUGAAAGCAUAAAAAUUUGUUCUAUAGCUCUUGUGAUAAAUGCCGUGUGUGCUUGGACCAGUAAACUAUGGAAGACUUCAUGAGCUCAUACCACUCUCCACCUCACUUUGUGGAAGCUGGUGUUUUUAGAGUGUGAUAAACUUCAGGUGAAUGGAUGCAUUCAGCUGCACCACGCUCUAGAGUGGGCUACACAGCAGUCAUAUUGAGUCCUUGCUGGGAAGAGAAGAAAUCCAGAGGAGGGAGAAGGCUUGGGUUGGGGGAAGUAUCAUAAAAUACUUAGAAGAUAUAAGAAGGUAAGAAUCAUGGGGAACUGGAAAACAGAGCCAGAGGAAGAAUGAGCACAGAGCAAACUGGGAAGGACAAAGUACAAAGGCACUUGGGUUUUGCCAUCUGCGUGUUCUCUGGACAAUCUCCCUUGGCCUCAUUUCUGGGAGAAAACUCUUCCUCCACCCCCUUGUAAUGUUUCAUUCUUGAAGGAAAGCAGCAACACAACUUCAUCAGUGAAUUUCGCCAUUGGAAUUGGUUCAUCCUUUAAUGCCUCUGGGAAAUCCCCAGCUGGGGAAUGUCCUGCUCUCUGCUGAGAGACAGCAGGAAAGUAGGUUGUCCUCUGUUUUCUCGUUGCUACAGCUCUUCUAAGUGUGGCUGAUUGUUGAGUGAAGACACAGGACACUUCUGGUGUGUAUGUAUGCUUUGUUCGCUGUGGGUGUUGUCGGUAGUGUCCUGAAAAGAAGAAGGGCAUGCCCAAUGGCUCUUUGCUUCCUCUUUGACUAGCCUUAUGAUCAUAGGGAGACACUAGGCCAUUGGAAGAUGAGGAGAACAAUGUGUCUAUGUUGUGUUCACUUCUAUUCCUAUUUAGUCCUAGAGGGAAAUCAGCAAGGGUAGAGAAGGGGACCAUAACUGGACAAAGCUGCUGAGCCUGUGUUGUGCAGCAAUUCCUGUGUAUAACUUGAUGUUACAUUAAGCAAUAGGAUGCCAUGUUCUGUUUAUACCUUUUUGAUGCAAUGAAUCUAUAAUAUUUUACCUCAAACCUCAAUAUAUUACGUUUCUUCCUCUUUUGGAGAAUCUGGCAUGAGAGGGAUCACUUCUUCAUAAGGAUUUGUGAACCUCUUCCAGUUUUCAUUGACCAGGGGUACAUCAUCACCUCUGUGACUGUCAGCCCAUAGUUUGGAUUUACUUUCAGUAAUAGGCUAAGCUGUCUCUUCUGACAACCCACAGUGAGCAGGGUACACACCUGCUACAACCUGUCUUCUGAACUGUUGUAUGUCAACAGAGUCAAAUACAACAGUGAAAUAUAAGCCUACUCCUAAGAUCCAUGUGUUGGUUUUUUGUUUUUUUUUGCACCACCAUAAAGUUGUCCUAGGAAGAGAUCAGGUGCACCAAUAGGGUAAGCACCAUGCUGCCAGUUCAGCAUUUGCCCAGAUUUGUCUUGAGUUGAAGGCCAAAGUCGAUGCUUUUGACUUUUCUUUUCUUCUUUAACAAAAUAUAAUCUGGUUUCAGGUCACUGUGAACUUAUACAGUGCCCAUAGCCAUAGAUAAAGCCUGCUAAUAUUUGCCUAAAUAUUUCCUUGGCUCCUUCCUCCUCUCGGUGGAAAGACUUUCAGAUGUAUUUGUAAAGAUGUAAAUUUUCAACCAGUUUCACGAUAAGUUAUUAGAAUUGUCUCAGACUCAAUUGGAGAAGCAAGAUGAUGUUGGGGUGGAUGAAAAACUUCAUUAUAUUUGCCAUGGUCAAGUUUGGCUGGCACCAUUGCUUCUUCUUUGCAUGCACUUUGAUAACCCCUGUAGCAGAACUUCCUCUGUCCCAGCACCUGAACUAUCCCAAGACCUCCACAGUCAAAGGACCAAUAUUGUGGUAGGGUGUCUGUGGUCAGGCAACUCCUCUGUCUCAGACCCUCCAAAUUGCAAGACCUUUACGGGCACUGGAAGUCACUGUCCCUAAACUUCCACUGUUGGAAUACCUCAACUAUAACAAGGACCUCUACUAUUGUACAAUCCCCUUGUCAUAGCACGUCUAUUGUUACAAAGUAGUCCACUGUCAAAGGACCUCCAGGGUCUCAGCCUCUCCACUGUUACAGGAUCUCUACUGUCUUAGGACCACUGCUGUUGGAGGACCUCCUGUCUCUCAGCAACUUCAGUUUGUUGGAGCUCUCCUAUCAGAGGACAUUUACAUUUGCUGUACUUCCAGUGUCACAGCUGUUAUAAGAACCUCCGUUCUCACAGGACCUCCAGUGCGUCAGUACCUCCACUGUCCAAGGAAUUUUAUAUUGUAGGACCUCUACUGUCCUACAGAAUGUCCACUGUCGCUAGAUUUCCACUGUCACAACACCGCAACCAUUACAAGAACUGCAAUUUUGGCAUGACCUCCAGUGUUCCAGCCCCUCCAGUGUCAUAGGACCUCCACUAUCCCAUGACGUCCACUGUCUCACCAAGGCCAAUUUAAAGGACCUCUACUAUAACAGGUUAUCCACUGUAGCUGGACUUACACUGUUGCAGUACCUCAACUGUUGCAGGACCAACAAGGUUGCAGGACAUAGACCCUCUCAGCAGCUAGAAUUUGCAGGACCUCUACUGGCACACAAAUUCCACAGUUGCUGGAGCUCCACUGUCACUGCAAAUGCACUGUCUCAUGAUAUUCACUGUUGCUGGACCAGUAGUGUGGCAGUACCUCCAUUUUUGCCAAGCCCCUCCACUGACGCAAGACUUCCACUUUUGUAGCACCUUCACUGUCCAAGCAAACCAACUCCUGCAGGAUCUCCAUUGUCUCAGGGCAUUCACUAAUGCCAGCUCUCCAAUGUUGUAGUACUUUUUAAAAAUUCCUCUAAAAAAGGUUACUUUGUUAUUUACAAAGUACAAUUCAGGUGUUGAGAAAAUAAAUAAGGUCAGUUUCCCCCCUAGAUACUAAGUAAAUAAAAUGUUUUUCUAGACACAAUAUAUGUAAAAGCUUGUGAAAAUGUUCAUAUAAAGCUAUUUGUGGUGGCAUGUGCAUUUAAUGCCAGCUCUAAGAAUGCAGAAAGAGGCAGAUUAUGGUUAGUUUCCGGUCCCCUCGCCUGUGUAGUGAAUUCCAGAACAGCCUCAAAUGUAUAGUGAGUCACUGGGCUCCGUUUUGUUCUGAUUGCUUGCUCGUGUUUGCAUUUUUAGGCUAGUCAAAAAUGUAUAUAUAAGAUCACCCUAUUAUACCAAGAGCAGUUAUUAAAUAUAAGAAUUAUAGAUGCAUCCUUUGAAGCUCUUCAUCUUAGAAAGAAUGAGGGAGAGAGAAUGAAUGAGUUGGCUUUGGUUUCAGUUUCAGAUCGUUAUGGCUCAGGUAAACCCAGAGCACAGAGUGAAGUUUUUAUGAGCUUUAUUUUUCUUGGAUAAUUUAUGUAUGCACAUUUCAAACGUUAUCCCCUUCCCAUGCUCUCCCAACCCCCUGCCCCUGCUUCUAUGUGGAUGUCAGCCACUUGAGUCAUGCAGAGUUUGACCACAUGAGACUCACCCCAGGACCUAAAUGCAGUGAGUUCAAGGACUCACAUGCUAUGCUGCGUGGGCUCCUCCUUAUGCCACACCUUGACCCCAUUGCACCCUGGGCCUCCAUACCAUAAGCCAGAGUGCAGAUCCCUGGGCACAGUAGGACACACCUAGGCUAGUUUUCACUCCCAUGGAUGCUCUUGUGGCCUUAUCAGAGCACUGUGACCACAUCCCACAUCUGAACAGCAAGCUAAUCAACAGGAUGCUCUGGGAGUCCAUCAGUUUGCUUCCUCAGUGACCCCAUAAUAGAGGGGGAAGAAAUCCAGGCUUUAGGGAGCUACCACAGCCAUGAUUGUUCUUUUGUCCCAGCCACUCCACCUUUGGCCAAGUUACAGCUCUGCCAGGCCCUGCUAUGUUGUCUUCAAAAUCUUUGUGUGUCAGUGAUACUUGUAUGAACUAUGCUACACGUUGGCCUAGAGGCUGGGCUUUCCUCUUGCAUUUCCAGCAAGACUACAGAGUUCCCGGGGGAGACUCUCAUGGCUCUUCAUGUUCUGACAGCACAGUCUGCAGAUGUCUCUAAGGUAUUGGACAUCAGACCCCACUGAGGAGUGAGAGGCUUUCAGUGGCUUAUAGACCCAGGGCCUGGGCAUGAUGGCCUUUAUUGUGUGUUUGAUAGCAUGUAUGCUCUGCUCCAAGUGUAGACAGACACUCCCCAUGCCUGUAGUCUGUGCUUGGAGUGUGGGUACACACUCUCCAUGCAAACAGCUGUCUACGCACACACAGAUGCCAUUUUCAUGAUUUACACCUGUUAUCUUUGAUGUUUCUUUUAAAAGACAAUCAUAUAAA